GGGGAUAUAGCUCAGAUGGUAGAGCGUUGCGUUCGCAUCGCAAAGGUCACGAGUUCGAAUCUCGUUAUCUCCACCA
This 76-nucleotide transfer RNA is filed under the name Acidaminococcus sp. CAG:917. Its description in RNAcentral is "transfer RNA-Ala(CGC)". It matches the Rfam family "tRNA". From Rfam's summary of the family: Transfer RNA (tRNA) molecules are approximately 80 nucleotides in length. Their secondary structure includes four short double-helical elements and three loops (D, anti-codon, and T loops). Lineage: Bacteria; Bacillati; Bacillota; Negativicutes; Acidaminococcales; Acidaminococcaceae. The record is from RNAcentral.